RNAcentral lists this ribosomal RNA (460 nucleotides) under uncultured bacterium. Its description in RNAcentral is "partial 16S ribosomal RNA". It matches the Rfam family "Bacterial small subunit ribosomal RNA", at positions 338 to 795 of the family's 1533-position model. The record is from RNAcentral.
CCUACGGGAGGCAGCAGUGAGGAAUAUUGGUCAAUGGACGAGAGUCUGAACCAGCCAAGUAGCGUGAAGGAUGACUGCCCUAUGGGUUGUAAACUUCUUUUAUAUGGGAAUAAAAUGUUCCACGUGUGGGAUUUUGUAUGUAACAUAGGAAUAAGGAUCGGCUAAACCCGUGCCAGCAGCCGCGGUAAUACGGAGGAUCGGAGCGUUAACCGGAUUUAUUGGGGUUAAAGGGAGCGUAGGUGGAUUGUUAAGUCAGUUGUGAAAGUUUGCGGUCCAACCGUCAAAUUGCAGUUGAAACUGGCAGUCUUGAGGACAGUAGAGGUGGGCGGAAUGCGUGGUGUAGCGGUGAAAUGCUUAGAUAUCACGAAGAACCCCGAUUGCGAAGGCAGCUCACUGGACUCCAACUGACACUGAGGCUCGAAAGUGUGGGUAUCAAACAGGAUUAGAUACCCUAGUAGUC